UACGUAGGGGGCAAGCGUUGUCCGGAUUUAUUGAGCGUAAAGAGCGUGUAGGCGGCUUUGCAAGUCCGUUGUGAAAACUCGAGGCUCAACCUCGAGACGCCGGUGGAAACUGCAAAGCUAGAGUCCGGAAGAGGAGAGUGGAAUUCCUGGUGUAGCGGUGAAAUGCGCAGAUAUCAGGAAGAACACCCGUGGCGAAGGCGGCUCUCUGGGACGGUACUGACGCUGAGACGCGAAAGCGUGGGGAGCGAACAGG
RNAcentral lists this ribosomal RNA (253 nucleotides) under uncultured bacterium. RNAcentral describes it as "partial 16S ribosomal RNA". It matches the Rfam family "Bacterial small subunit ribosomal RNA", at positions 524 to 776 of the family's 1533-position model. The record is from RNAcentral.